Molecule: long non-coding RNA, 336 nt
Organism: Monopterus albus (swamp eel)
Lineage: Eukaryota; Metazoa; Chordata; Actinopteri; Synbranchiformes; Synbranchidae
Exons: 3
Source: RefSeq, a predicted model, not a curated record
UUGUUAUUGCCGUCCUUGUUUAUGUCAUCAGGAAAGAAUCUUGUGAUUGUUGCAAUGCUACAAAUGUUGGUCUACAAACAACUGCUGCAACAGCCAGUGGUGAUCAGCAUAGUCAGCAGAGAACUGAGGACUCUUUGGUUUAUUCUACGGCAGUCUUUACUGGGAGAAAAGCUGGCAAAGCAGGAAGAAGAAAUGCAACAGCAAAGGAGGAGACGAUCUACACCAGGGUCAGGGCUUCUGUGAACGAUUAACGAUCCAAACACUGGAUGUACUUACUGAUGUGAUGUGGCACACAGUGUGCAAAAUGCACUGAUUUAACUGAGAAGACAAAUAUAA